CCUACGGGUGGCAGCAGUGGGGAAUAUUGCACAAUGGGCGAAACCCUGAUGCAGCGACGUCGCGUGAGUGAAGACGUACUUCUUUAUUUAAAGCUCUAUCAGCAGGGGAGAAAAUGACGGUACCUGAGUAAUAAUCCCCGGCUAACUACGUGCCAGCAGCCGCGGUAAUACGUAGGGGGCAAGCGUUAUCCGGAUUUACUGGGUGUAAAGGGAGCGUAGACGGCAGUGCAAGUCUGGAGUGAAAGGCGGGGGCUCAAACCCCGGACUGCUCUGGAAACUGUACGGCUUGAGUGGAGGAGAGGUAAGUGGAAUUCCUAGUGUAGCGGUGAAAUGCGUAGAUAUUAGGAGGAACACCAGUGGCGAAGGCGGCUUACUGGACUGUAACUGACGUUGAGGCUCGAAAGCGUGGGGAGCAAACAGGAUUAGAUACCCUUGUAGUC
This 440-nucleotide ribosomal RNA is filed under the name uncultured bacterium. RNAcentral's name for it is "partial 16S ribosomal RNA". It matches the Rfam family "Bacterial small subunit ribosomal RNA", at positions 338 to 795 of the family's 1533-position model. The record is from RNAcentral.